RNAcentral lists this ribosomal RNA (957 nucleotides) under Triticum aestivum (bread wheat). RNAcentral describes it as "partial small subunit ribosomal RNA". Lineage: Eukaryota; Viridiplantae; Streptophyta; Magnoliopsida; Poales; Poaceae. The record is from RNAcentral.
AUGCGGUUGAUCGAGUACGCUCUAAAGUGCCAAGUCAAGGACCUGCUAGUCAGAGCUGUUCAAACUGAGGUCUACCCGCUGACAUUCGACGCGCCUCUCAUCUCCCAGCACCUGAAGACCAUAGAGCUUGAACGGGUUAACCUAGAAUGCUCUGCCCUGGAUUUCUCUGGCUGCCCCGCAUUAGAGGGCCUGAAGAUGACACAUUGUUGGGCUUAUGCACACAAGAUAUCAUCCGAGUCGCUCAAGUAUCUGUGCAUCACCGGUUUUUGUUCCGUCCUUGAUGAUUCCCACAUGAGGAUCUCCACCCCGGCCCUUGUCUCACUCCAACUUGAUGGCUUUCAUGGUUUGACCCCUUACCUUGAAAACAUGCCGUUUCUAGUAACAGCCUAUGUUCGCCUUGGCAAGGGAUGCUUCGAUUUCACGUUCUGUAACCUUAAUAUGGAGGGGGAUUGUGAUGUUCCUUGUUGUGGUUGCCAUACAUAUCUUGUUGAUGAGGGCGUGCUUCUCAGUGGCUUGACCCAUGCUGUGAAUUUGGAGUUGAUUGCUGAACCUGAAAAGAUUAUCUACAACUGGGAUUUAAAAUGGCACCCUAUAUUUGGCAACUUAAAAACUCUGCUUCUCAACGAGUGGUUCACGGCCAUUGACUUAGUUUGCAUUCUCCAACACUCUCCAGUUCUUGAGAUGCUCACUCUUCAGCUAGGUAACACUGAGAAACUCAUUGGAAUAACAGGAGCACAAGAAACAGUAAAAGAAUCAUUUGUGUGCGCGCACCUUAAGGUUGUGAACAUUGAAUGUGGAAAAGUUAACGAGGGAAUUCGUGAAAUUUUGAAGAUCUUGAGUACGUGUGGCGUACGUCAUAAGCAAAUCAGCGUCAAUGAUCCAUGUUCUCGCUCAGACUGUUUCAGUUUCCAGAAGUGCCCCGUGGCCGCAGCAGGUUCCACCACGGAUGGCGCCUGA